Molecule: long non-coding RNA, 466 nt
Filed under: Mustela putorius furo (domestic ferret)
Lineage: Eukaryota; Metazoa; Chordata; Mammalia; Carnivora; Mustelidae
Description: lncRNA (ENSMPUG00000027018.1)
Source: RNAcentral
AUGCAGAUAAGAGGCCUGGCUACAGGAGCUGUGGGUGCCUGGUGUGUGGGUUUGUUACACCUCCCCACGAUGGGGGUCAAUUUGGAGUGGCACUGGUCUGGGCCUAAGCUGCAUAACAGGUGUGGUUGGGCAGGAGCAGCUUUGGAACUUGUGCCUGCCAUGGCAGAUUCUCUGUUUGGAUCAGUUCUGGAGAAAAAGAGGGAAAGGAAAACGAAAUGGAAGAAGUGAAGGUGGGAGACAGAAGGUGGAAGUUUAGAGGUAAGUCAGAAUCUUGUAUCAGGGAAGUACCUGUUUCUCAGGAAAGAAGAAAUGGAACUGAAACUGCUAAAAGAUCGUAACACUUUUUGGUGAUUUGGGCUAAACUUGCCUUUUACUGUAUUUUAAAAAUAUAAUGCUUUGGGGCACCUGGGUGGCUCAGUGGGUUAAGCCCCUGCCUCUGGCUCAGGUCAUGAUCUCAGGGUCCUGA